Myotis brandtii (Brandt's bat) is the source of this 1535-nucleotide long non-coding RNA. RefSeq lists it as uncharacterized. The transcript is spliced from 3 exons. NCBI's taxonomy places the organism in Eukaryota, Metazoa, Chordata, Mammalia, Chiroptera, Vespertilionidae. The record is from RefSeq and is a predicted model, not a curated record.
GAAAUAUUCAUACUAAUGUUGACAUUUAAUAUUGUAGACUUAAAGCAAAAGCAGUCAUUAAUUUUAAGUUUCAACACUUGGGCCCUUGUGCUUUAUUAAACUUUUGGACUUUAACCCAUGCUUAGAUCAUUUCAUUUGAACCUAAAAAAAACGAGCAAACAAAACACACACACACACACACACAUACACACCCCAAGAUCUCUAAUCGGUGGAGCACAGAGAAUGUUACGGCAACGAAGCUACUCUGCAUCCCCUCAACGGUGGGCCCAGGUCUUGGCACAUUUGUCCAAACCCUUAGAAUUCACGGCAGCAGAGUGAACCCUGAUGCACACGGUGGACUUUGGGCGGUGAAGGUGUGUCCACGCAGCUCAUCGACUGUAACAAAGACAUGUGUUCUAUGUGUGUAAAGAGCAGACUGUGUGUCCUGUGUCUGAAAACCACUUCGCAAGCAUCGCAAAUACUCAAAACACCUUGAUGAGAGGAGUGUUUACAACGAGGAGCUACGGGACUCCAAUGGGUUCCUGCCUUCUCCCCUCUCCUCCUCAUUCCCGGGGGAAAUGCCGACAGUCCGACCAACUGACCCUGGGAUGAGCGCUGGCCCCUCCGAUUUACAGCCUUUCCCUGCGAGCAGGAUGCUCCGUCCAUAUUUGCCUUCCUUCUCCCCCCUCGCCAGGCCUCUAAGUCAACUGAGACUCAGAAGCCAGAAUCCCCCCUCCGCCCGGUGAUCCCAGCGAAGUGUCUCUUCCUGGUCGCUGUAGGACUGGGCCCGACAACGCCCUUGGCAGGGGGCCGGCUCGGCUGGAGACCUUUCGGACCCUCCCCUGCCGCAGACCCCACGGCCGGCCUUCCAGGGUGGAAUCCGGCCCAGACCUGCUUCGCCAGGUCUCCCCUGGAACUGCCCUGCCCCCGUCCAACGUCCAACGGGCGGCCCCCUCCCAGCACAGCCACAGGUCUCAGGCCCGGAGCCCCGGGACGUCCUCCUCUCGUCUCCUCUGUGCCCAUGAAGCCCCCCUGACAGGUGUACCCCUCUGGGAGCCUCACCCAACCAUCACUUGGGUUUCCUUACCCUCAUCUUGAAUGCACCGCGGGCCUCAGUCAGACGAGGCGGGCACCUUGGGGGGGGGGGGUGUGCCCGAGACGCGGGCCCCGCUCAGAUGUCUGCUCCCACGGACCCUCCUGCAGGAUCCCCCGCCCCAGCCUCGCAGCCUCCCUGGUUGCCAUGGCGCCUGGCACACUGCCCGAGUUUAUAGUCAUUUCCCUGUGAGAUUACAAGCUCCUUGGAAUAGGUGGUGCUUUACUCAUCUUUUAUGCCCCACACGGGACAUUAUCUCAGAACGUCUGUUGAAUGAACAAGCUCAGCAGUUAGGGGCCCCAUCAGAGCAACUGACCUCUUGACCCGACGGAUGGAGGUGCUGUAAGCCCUCCCCUCGGUCAGCAUCGCACCAACCAUCCUGUGUCUUAACAAAAGGCCAGCCCGGCCGGCGUGGCUCAGUGAUUGACCAUCGACCUAUGAACCAGGAGGUCAGAGUUUGACU